Long non-coding RNA from Sander lucioperca (pikeperch), 163 nucleotides. RefSeq lists it as uncharacterized. The record is from RefSeq and is a predicted model, not a curated record. The transcript is spliced from 3 exons. Lineage: Eukaryota; Metazoa; Chordata; Actinopteri; Perciformes; Percidae.
GAUUUAGAAAAGCCUGUAAUGGUGAAUGGACUGAUAAGCAGGCUAUGCAUUCGUCAUGUAUGCCCCAUUUGCAAUGAAACGAUGCUGUUGCAAAAUAAUACAACCAGCAUCAUCAUCAACAAUGAAGAACGCCAACAUAACGAUCGCGUCAUUCACGUGCAUA